UACGUAGGGGGCGAGCGUUAUCCGGAUUUAUUGGGCGUAAAGCGUGUGUAGGCGGUUUAUUAAGUUUAAGAUAAAAUUCCGAAGCUUAACUUCGGUUCGUCUUAAAAACUGGUAGACUUGAGUAUAGUAGAGGCAAGUGGAAUUUCUAGUGUAGCGGUUAAAUGCGUAGAUAUUAGAAGGAACACCAGUGGCGAAGGCGGCUUGCUGGGCUAAAACUGACGCUGAGACACGAAAGCGUGGGGAGCAAAUA
Molecule: ribosomal RNA, 250 nt
Filed under: uncultured prokaryote
Description: partial 16S ribosomal RNA
Rfam family: Bacterial small subunit ribosomal RNA
Source: RNAcentral